UGGGGAAUAUUGCACAAUGGGGGAAACCCUGAUGCAGCGACGCCGCGUGGAGGAAGAAGGUCUUCGGAUUGUAAACUCCUGUUGUUGAGGAAGAUAAUGACGGCACUCAACAAGGAAGUGACGGCUAACUACGUGCCAGCAGCCGCGGUAAAACGUAGGUCACAAGCGUUGUCCGGAAUUACUGGGUGUAAAGGGAGCGCAGGCGGUACGGCAAGUCUGAUGUGAAAGCCCGGGGCUCAACCCCGGUACUGCAUUGGAAACUGUCGGACUAGAGUGUCGGAGGGGUAAGUGGAAUUCCUAGUGUAGCGGUGAAAUGCGUAGAUAUUAGGGGGAACACCAGUGGCGAAGGCGGCUUACUGGACGAUCACUGACGCUGAGGCUCGAAAGCGUGGGGAGCAAACAGGAUUAGAUACCCUGGUAGU
Molecule: ribosomal RNA, 422 nt
Filed under: uncultured Roseburia sp.
Lineage: Bacteria; Bacillati; Bacillota; Clostridia; Lachnospirales; Lachnospiraceae
Description: bacterial SSU rRNA
Rfam family: Bacterial small subunit ribosomal RNA
Source: RNAcentral